RNAcentral lists this ribosomal RNA (1548 nucleotides) under Candidatus Carsonella ruddii. Its description in RNAcentral is "SSU rRNA". It matches the Rfam family "Bacterial small subunit ribosomal RNA". Lineage: Bacteria; Pseudomonadati; Pseudomonadota; Gammaproteobacteria; Oceanospirillales; Halomonadaceae. The record is from RNAcentral.
UUUGAAAUAAUUUUUUAAAUAAUAAAAAAGUUUUUACGAGUUUGAUCAUAGCUCAGAUUAAACGCUGGCGACAAGCUUAACACAUGCAAGUUGUGCGAAUUAUAAAAAAUUAGCAGCGAACGGGUGAGUAAUAUGCAAGAAUCUGCCUUUUAGUAACGAAAAGUAUAUAGAAAUGUAUAGUAAUUCGAUAUAAAUCCUAAUGGAUAAAGUAUGGGAAAGCCAUAUGCUAAAAGAAGAGCUUGUAUCGGAUUAGUUAGUUGUUGAAGUAAAGGUUUAACAAGACUAUGAUCCGUAGUUGAUCUUAGAGGAUGAACAACCACAUUGGGACUGAGACACGGCCCAAACUUCUAAGGAAGGCAGCAGUGGGGAAUAUUGGACAAUGAGCGAAAGCUUGAUCCAGCUAUGUCGCGUGUGUGAAGAAGGCCUUAGGGUUGUAAAACACUUUCAACAACGAAAGAAGAAUUAAAAAUUAAAUAAAUUUUUUUUUUUGACGAUAUUUGUAAAAGAAGCACCGGCUAACUUCGUGCCAGCAGCCGCGGUAAUACGAGGGGUGCAAGCGUUAAUCGAAAUUAUUGGGCGUAAAGGGUGUGUAGGUUGUUUGUGAUAGUUAAUUUUGUUAAAUUUAUUAAAGUAAUUUAAUAAAGCAAUUAAUACUAAUAAACUUGAGUAUAAAAGAAGAAAUUAGAAUUUCGGGAGUAGCAGUGAAAUGCUCAGAUAUCUGAAAGAAUACUAGUGGCGAAGGCGUUUUUCUAUUUUAAUACUGACACUGAUACACGAAAGCGUGGGGAGCAAACAGGAUUAGAUACCCUGGUAGUCCACGCAGUAAACGAUGUCAACUAUUUAUUAAAUAACAUAUUUUAAAAAAUAUUUUUUAUUUAAAAAUGUAUUUUUAGUGAAAAAGCUAACGCGUUAAGUUGACCGCCUGGGGAUUACGACCGCAAGGUUAAAACUCAAAUGAAUUGACGGGGGCUCGCACAAGCGGUGGAGCAUGUGGUUUAAUUCGAUACAACACGAAGAAUCUUACCUACUCUUGACAUCCAAAGAAUUUAUUAGAAAUAAUAAAGCUUUUAUAGCUUUGAGACAGGUGCUGCAUGGCUGUCGUCAGCUCGUGUUGUGAAAUGUUGGGUUAAGUCCUAUAACGAGCGCAACCCUUAUCUUAUAUUACUAAAAUAAUCUUAGAACUAAUAAGAGACUGCCUAUGAUAAAUUGGAGGAAGGUGAGGACGACGUCAAGUCAUCAUGGCCCUUAUGAGUAGGGCUACACACGUGCUACAAUGAGUAAAACAAAAAGUUGUGCUAUAUGGUAACAUAAUGCUAAUCUUUAAACAUACUCUUAGUUCGGAUUAAAAUCUGUAACUCGAUUUUAUGAAGUUGGAAUCGCUAGUAAUCGUAAAUCAGAAUGUUACGGUGAAUACGUUCUCGAGCCUUGUACACACCGCCCGUCACACCAUGGAAGUAAAUUGUAUCAUAAGUAAUUUAAUUAUUACAACGGUAUGAUUUGUAACUGGGGUGAAGUCGUAACAAGGUAGCUGUAGGGGAACCUGUGGCU